AGCGAACGCUGGCGGCAGGCCUAACACAUGCAAGUCGAACGAACCUUUCGGGGUUAGUGGCGGACGGGUGAGUAACACGUGGGAACGUGCCUUUAGGUUCGGAAUAACUCAGGGAAACUUGUGCUAAUACCGAAUGUGCCCUUCGGGGGAAAGAUUAAUCGUAUUUAGAGCGGCCCGCGUCCGGUUAGCUUGUUGGGUGAGGGAAUGGCUCACCAAGGCGACGAUGAGUAGCUGGUCUGAGCGGAUGAUCAGCCACAUUGGAACUGAGACAGGGUCCAGACUCCGACGGGAGGCAGCAGUGGGGAAUAUUGGACAAUGGGCGCAAGCCUGAUCCAGCCAUACCGCGUGGGUGAAGAAGACCUUCGGGUUGUAAAGCCCUUUUGUUGGGAAAGAAAAGCAGCAGGUUAAUACCCCGCUGUUCUGACGGUACCCAAAGAAUAAGCACCGGCUAACUUCGUG
Molecule: ribosomal RNA, 459 nt
Filed under: uncultured bacterium
Lineage: Bacteria
Description: partial 16S ribosomal RNA
Rfam family: Bacterial small subunit ribosomal RNA
Source: RNAcentral